AAGUCGAGCGAAGCUUUUUAGUAGUUUACUACUAGAAAUGACUGAGCGGCGAACGGGUGAGUAACGCGUGAGCAAUCUACCUUAGUUACUGGGAUAGCCCGAGGAAACUCGGAUUAAUACCAGAUAUUCUUAUUUUUUCACAUGAAGUUUUAAGGAAAGGUCAGCCGAACUAAGAUGAGCUCGCGUUCUAUCAGCUAGUUGGUGGGGUAAAAGCCUACCAAGGCUACGACGGAUAGCUGGUCUGAGAGGACGAUCAGCCACACUGGGACUGAGACACGGCCCAGACUCCUACGGGAGGCUGCAGCAGGGAAUAUUGUGCAAUGAGCGAAAACUUGACACAGCGACACCGCGUGUGGGAUGACGGUUCUAGGAUUGUAAACCACUUUCAGGAGGGAAGAAAAUGACGGUACCUCCACAAGAAGACCCGGCCAACUAUGUGCCAGCAGCCGCGGUAAUACAUAGGGGUCAAGCGUUGUCCGGAUUUAUUGGGCGUAAAGAGCUCGUAGGCGGUUCAACAAGUCGGUCGUAAAAGUUUAGGGCUCAACCCUAAAAUGUCGAUCGAUACUGUUGUGACUAGGAUACGGUAGAGGUGAAUGGAAUUCCGAGUGUAGCGGUGAAAUGCGUAGAUAUUCGGAGGAACACCAAUUGCGAAGGCAGUUCACUGGACCGUGAUCGACGCUGAGGAGCGAAAGCUAGGGGAGCAAACAGGAUUAGAUACCCUGGUAGUCCUAGCUGUAAACGAUGGAUACUAGAUGUAGGAACUUGGAUUGACGGUUUCUGUAUCGUAGCUAAACGCGUUAAGUAUCCCGCCUGGGGAGUGCGGUCGCAA
This 829-nucleotide ribosomal RNA is filed under the name uncultured marine bacterium. RNAcentral describes it as "bacterial SSU rRNA". It matches the Rfam family "Bacterial small subunit ribosomal RNA", at positions 59 to 891 of the family's 1533-position model. The record is from RNAcentral.